Molecule: ribosomal RNA, 501 nt
Filed under: uncultured bacterium
Lineage: Bacteria
Description: partial 16S ribosomal RNA
Rfam family: Bacterial small subunit ribosomal RNA
Source: RNAcentral
AUUGAACGCUGGCGGCAGGCUUAACACAUGCAAGUCGAGCGGGGGAAGGUAGCUUGCUACCGGACCUAGCGGCGGACGGGUGAGUAGUGCUUAGGAAUCUGCCUAUUAGUGGGGGACAACAUCUCGAAAGGGAUGCUAAUACCGCAUACGUCCUACGGGAGAAAGCAGGGGAUCUUCGGACCUUGCGCUAAUAGAUGAGCCUAAGACGGAUUAGCUAGUCGGUGGGGUAAAGGCCUACCAAGGCGACGAUCUGUAGCGGGUCUGAGAGGAUGAUACGCCACACUGGGACUGGGACGCGGCCCAGACUCCUACGGGAGGCAGCAGUGGGGAAUAUUGGACAAUGGGGGGAACCCUGAUCCAGCCAUGCCGCGUGUGUGAAGAAGGCCUUAUGGUUGUAAAGCACUUUAAGCGAGGAGGAGGCUACUCUAGUAAAUACCUAGGGAUAGUGGACGUUACUCGCAGAAUAAGCACCGGCUAACUCUGUGCCAGCCGCCGCCGUAA